Venturia canescens is the source of this 538-nucleotide long non-coding RNA. RefSeq lists it as uncharacterized. The transcript is spliced from 2 exons. Lineage: Eukaryota; Metazoa; Arthropoda; Insecta; Hymenoptera; Ichneumonidae. The record is from RefSeq and is a predicted model, not a curated record.
AAGAGUUGCAGCAGCAACGAGAGAGUAUUUUACACAUGUGUUUACACUCAUCGUUACGCGUUCAACGUCACGCAGGUCACGUGGGCGUCUGGUCAGCUGUGGCUUUGGAUUACCCAAAUUGGCGACUCACGCCAGAGUGGAAAGCGCUCGAGUCUCCGUAACGAAAACGCUUUGCAACAAAUCCGAGAUAUGCGGGCAGCGUAGCCGAGAGCACAUGAGAUUUCACACGCAUUACACGAGGAGAGAUGCGUAAUAUAUCGAAGGUUAUAAUCUGUACAUGUAAUAGCCGUGACGCAAUGUAACGGAGAAUACCGGUUUUGUCGGAUACAAAAUGGAAUCACAGUAUUUUUUCUCCUUUUAAUUACGAUAAAAUUGGAAUAUUUAUUUUCAAAGUUGGUUUUAAACAUUUGAUUAAGUAAACCAGAUCGAACUGGAAUGAAAAUAAAGAAAAACACCAGAAAUUAUGUACGAACGCAAACCCUGGAACCGUCACAAAGUUAUUGUAUAUACGAGUACAAAAAUAAAUCGAGAUGAAAAC